This 640-nucleotide ribosomal RNA is filed under the name Peloriolus sp. 1 MF-2023a. RNAcentral describes it as "partial large subunit ribosomal RNA". It matches the Rfam family "Eukaryotic large subunit ribosomal RNA", at positions 653 to 1247 of the family's 3401-position model. Lineage: Eukaryota; Metazoa; Arthropoda; Insecta; Coleoptera; Elmidae. The record is from RNAcentral.
CUUGAAACACGGACCAAGGAGUCUAGCAUGUGCGCGAGUCAUUGGGACUUGCGAAACCUAAAGGCGAAAUGAAAGUGAAGGCGCGCCUUGCGCGCGCCGAGGGAGGAUGGGCCGUGCCUCGGCGCGGCCCCGCACUCCCGGGGCGUUUCGUUCUCAUCGCGAGAUGAGGCGCACCCAGAGCGUACACGCUGGGACCCGAAAGAUGGUGAACUAUGCCUGGUCAGGACGAAGUCAGGGGAAACCCUGAUGGAGGUCCGUAGCGAUUCUGACGUGCAAAUCGAUCGUCGGAACUGGGUAUAGGGGCGAAAGACUAAUCGAACCAUCUAGUAGCUGGUUCCCUCCGAAGUUUCCCUCAGGAUAGCUGGCGCUCGCUUUGCGAGUCUCAUCCGGUAAAGCGAAUGAUUAGAGGCAUUGGGGUCGAAACGGCCUCAACCUAUUCUCAAACUUUAAAUGGGUGAGAUCUCCGGCUUGCUUGAAACUUGAAGCCGCGAGAUAUCUACAUUCGGAUCAGGGUGCCAAGUGGGCCAUUUUUGGUAAGCAGAACUGGCGCUGUGGGAUGAACCAAACGCCGAGUUAAAGCGCCCAAAUCGACGCUUAUGGGAUACCAUGAAAGGCGUUGGUAACUUAAGACAGCAGGACG